Molecule: RNA transcript, 1348 nt
Organism: Populus trichocarpa (black cottonwood)
Lineage: Eukaryota; Viridiplantae; Streptophyta; Magnoliopsida; Malpighiales; Salicaceae
Gene name: protein LURP-one-related 14
Exons: 4
Source: RefSeq, a predicted model, not a curated record
ACAGGCCAAAAGGAUGAUAUAUCUACCUGUACCCUUCCUAUUAUAGAUUGUUUACUUAAAAUCUUCAAUGGUUAAAGAUACGAUGAACAUAAUGCUGACAACUAUAAAAUAGGAAACAAACCAAACUACACCAACAGUUUUUUGGAAAAAAAAUCCCAGGCACAAAUUAAACUGUAAAAACUGGCGACAAAUCUGAUUGUCUUCUUCUAGCUAGCUGGUUUCCUGUAGGUUUUGAGGCAAUUCAAUGACGGUUUAUGGGGUUCCUCCUGUUAGUGUGGUUGGGGAAAACUAUUGCGCCCCUUACCCCCUGGAGUUGAUUGUCAAGAAGAAGAUUAAAAAACUAUCCAAUGCACAAUUUGAAGUAUUUGAUCUCAGUGGAAACCUCCUCCUCCAGGUAGAUGGUGGUGUCUGGAACUUCCAGUUGAAAAGAGUUUUGCGUGAUCCUGCUGGUUUUCCUAUCCUCACGAUCCGCGGAAAGGUACUUACACUAUGGCAUAAAUGGAAGGCUCAUGCAGGUGAAAGCACGGAUGACAGCAAUGUCCUUUUCACUGUAAAGCAAUCCCAUCCUCUCCAAAUUAAAAAAGCGAUCAACGUCUUCUUGACCAACAACUCCAAGAAAAAAGAACCUGACUUUCACAUAAGUGGAUCUUAUACUUCUUUGUCAUUCAAAGUUUAUGAAGGCCGUAGACUCAUUGCAGAGGUCAAACAUAACUUCACGCUUGAGAGUUUCUGCAAGGGGAAGGAAAGAUACAAGGUUAAAGUUUAUCCAGAGGUUGAUUAUGCAUUCGUUGUGGCGUUGCUCGUAAUUCUUGACGAGAAUGACACCCCUUGAGCGGGAGGUCCGUUUCUUUACCACCUCUGCGACUGUCGCUGUGUGAUACCUGUGCGGGUGUUAACCUAGCAAUCCUGAUAAUGGAAUAUCCAUAGACGCCAGCCACUUUCUGUGAGAGAAGGAGCACAGAGAUUGAAUAAUUCCUUGUCGAAUCAUUGCUUCCAUGACCGCUGCUUAAUUAUGAGCUUUCAUGAUUCUCUUCAUCAGAACUGGUUCAUCUGUUUUGUCUGAAAUUAAACGCCCAUUAUGUCUAUAGACAGGCCUAACGAUGGCAAGAUUGGCAGAUAGGCAUUAUAAAUGCACACUCCAUUUUACAAGCCCAUAAGUGGAGCAGAGAGGGCUAUGUGGGCUGUGGCCGUCAAGCGAAGCUGGCCCCAGUAGUGACUUUUUCUACCUCACGAGUUUUAUUUUUUUUUUAAUAGGACAUCCUUGGUUUAUGUGUGUGUUGUCUUCGAAGAUCUUGGAGAGCGUUUGUAAACUCAAGUUGGCUCGUGUUUUAAAAAAUUAAUUUUUUUA